CGUAAGAGGUAGGCGGAAUUCGUCGUGUAGCGGUGAAAUGCAUAGAUAUGACGAAGAACUCCGAUUGCGAAGGCAGCUUACUGGGCCGCAACUGACGCUGAAGCUCGAAGGUGCGGGUAUCAAACAGGAUUAGAUACCCUGGUAGUCCGCACAGUAAACGAUGGAUACUCGCUGUCGGCGAUAUACAGUCGGUAGCCAAGCGAAAGCAUUAAGUAUCCCACCUGGGGAGUACGCCGGCAACGGUGAAACUC
RNAcentral lists this ribosomal RNA (251 nucleotides) under uncultured bacterium. RNAcentral's name for it is "partial 16S ribosomal RNA". It matches the Rfam family "Bacterial small subunit ribosomal RNA", at positions 649 to 902 of the family's 1533-position model. The record is from RNAcentral.